This is a long non-coding RNA of Saccostrea cuccullata (small rock oyster), 483 nucleotides long. RefSeq lists it as uncharacterized. The transcript has 3 exons. The record is from RefSeq and is a predicted model, not a curated record. NCBI's taxonomy places the organism in Eukaryota, Metazoa, Mollusca, Bivalvia, Ostreida, Ostreidae.
GAAUGGAAAGGAUCCAUGCCAGGCCUCGUUUUUCCUCCCCAUGCUGAUUCCAGUCCAGUGGACCAUCACAGUCUGGAAACUUCUAGCUGCCUGGUCUUCUAAGAGAAACUCCAUUCCUUGAUGACUGAUGGAAAAGCCUCAUCACCCCCCACUGCUUAAGAACCCCUUAUCUUAAUCACCAGCCAUUAAUCAGUGAUCACUGUUAUCAAAGCUCCAAGGUGCGCAUGAUGCAACUUCCUGGAUGGUGUGUAGGCUGUUUGUCAACAUGUGAAUCCCACGUGCAUUUCGGGGUAGGUAUGUUUACUGUCGAUUUUCUUUCUUAAAAGCCGCAUAAGGCAUAUUUUUUCUGAUCUCAAAUUUUUGUUUAAUAAGCAUUAAUCUUUAUUUUCUCUUUCAUGAAUUUUCUGCUGAGAGUCUAAUAAAUUAAAUAAUUUAAUUCAAGCUAUAUAGUAAUAUAUAGUGAAAUUAUUUCCUUGUGUGAGA